This 581-nucleotide ribosomal RNA is filed under the name Priestia aryabhattai. Its description in RNAcentral is "bacterial SSU rRNA". It matches the Rfam family "Bacterial small subunit ribosomal RNA", at positions 95 to 664 of the family's 1533-position model. Lineage: Bacteria; Bacillati; Bacillota; Bacilli; Caryophanales; Bacillaceae. The record is from RNAcentral.
GCGGCGGACGGGUGAGUAACACGUGGGCAACCUGCCUGUAAGACUGGGAUAACUUCGGGAAACCGAAGCUAAUACCGGAUAGGAUCUUCUCCUUCAUGGGAGAUGAUUGAAAGAUGGUUUCGGCUAUCACUUACAGAUGGGCCCGCGGUGCAUUAGCUAGUUGGUGAGGUAACGGCUCACCAAGGCAACGAUGCAUAGCCGACCUGAGAGGGUGAUCGGCCACACUGGGACUGAGACACGGCCCAGACUCCUACGGGAGGCAGCAGUAGGGAAUCUUCCGCAAUGGACGAAAGUCUGACGGAGCAACGCCGCGUGAGUGAUGAAGGCUUUCGGGUCGUAAAACUCUGUUGUUAGGGAAGAACAAGUACGAGAGUAACUGCUCGUACCUUGACGGUACCUAACCAGAAAGCCACGGCUAACUACGUGCCAGCAGCCGCGGUAAUACGUAGGUGGCAAGCGUUAUCCGGAAUUAUUGGGCGUAAAGCGCGCGCAGGCGGUUUCUUAAGUCUGAUGUGAAAGCCCACGGCUCACCCGUGGAGGGUCAUUGGAAACUGGGGAACUUGAGUGCAGAGAGAAAGCGG